Molecule: ribosomal RNA, 348 nt
Filed under: uncultured bacterium
Lineage: Bacteria
Description: bacterial SSU rRNA
Rfam family: Bacterial small subunit ribosomal RNA
Source: RNAcentral
UAGCUGCAUUAUUUGACGUUUAGCGACAGAAGAAGCACCGGCUAACUCCGUGCCAGCAGCCGCGGUAAGUACGGAGGGUGCGAGCGUUAAUCGGAAUUACGUGGGACGUAAAGCGCAUGCAGGUGGUUUGUUAAGUCAGAUGUGAAAGGACCCGGGGCGUCAACCUACGGAAUAGCAUUUAGUAAACUGGCAGACUAGAGUACUGUAGAGGGGGGUAGGAAUUUCAGGUGUAGCGGUGAAAUGCGUAGAGAUCUGAAGGAAUACCGGUGGCGAAGGCGGCCCCCUGGACAGAUACUGACACUCAGAUGCGAAAGCGUGGGGAGCAAACAGGAUUAGAUACCCUGGUAG